GAUGAACGCUGGCGGUAUGCUUAACACAUGCCAGUCGAACGGUCACUUCGGUGAUAGUGGCGGACGGGUGAGUAACGCGUGAGAAUCUGUCUUCAGGUCGGGGACAACAGUUAGAAAUGACUGCUAAUACCGGAUGUGCCUUUGGGUGAAGAUUUAUUGCCUGAAAAAGAGCUCGCGUCAGAUUAGCUAGUAGGUGGUGUAAGAGACUACCUAGGCUCCGAUCUGUAGCUGGUCUGAGAGGACGAUCAGCCACACUGGAACUGAGACACGGUCCAGACUCCUACGGGAGGCAGCAGUGGGGAAUUUUCCGCAAUGGGCGAAAGCCUGACGGGGCAAUACCGCGUGAGGGACGAAGGCUUUUGGGUCGUAAACCUCUUUUCUCAAGGAAGAUGAUGACGGUACUUGAGGAAUAAGCAUCGGCUAACUCUGUG
Molecule: ribosomal RNA, 431 nt
Filed under: uncultured bacterium
Lineage: Bacteria
Description: partial 16S ribosomal RNA
Rfam family: Bacterial small subunit ribosomal RNA
Source: RNAcentral